RNAcentral lists this small nuclear RNA (127 nucleotides) under Myotis brandtii (Brandt's bat). RNAcentral's name for it is "U2 spliceosomal RNA". It matches the Rfam family "U2 spliceosomal RNA". From Rfam's summary of the family: U2 is a small nuclear RNA (snRNA) component of the spliceosome (involved in pre-mRNA splicing). The record is from Rfam by way of RNAcentral. Lineage: Eukaryota; Metazoa; Chordata; Mammalia; Chiroptera; Vespertilionidae.
AUCGCUUCUCGGCCUUUGGGCUAAGAUCAAGUGUAGUAUCUGUUCUUAUCAGUUUAAAAAGUAAGUGACAGUGAAUGGAAGGUAUAAUUUAAAGGGUUUUUUUGUUGUUGUUUUGUUUUUACCAAUA